This 244-nucleotide ribosomal RNA is filed under the name uncultured bacterium. Its description in RNAcentral is "partial 16S ribosomal RNA". It matches the Rfam family "Bacterial small subunit ribosomal RNA", at positions 15 to 249 of the family's 1533-position model. The record is from RNAcentral.
GAUCCUGGCUCAGGACGAACGCUGGCGGCGUGCCUAAUACAUGCAAGUAGAACGCUGAAGACUUUAGCUUGCUAAAGUUGGAAGAGUUGCGAACGGGUGAGUAACGCGUAGGUAACCUGCCUACUAGCGGGGGAUAACUAUUGGAAACGAUAGCUAAUACCGCAUAACAGCAUUUAACCCAUGUUAGAUGCUUGAAAGGAGCAAUUGCUUCACUAGUAGAUGGACCUGCGUUGUAUUAGCUAGG